CAUGUAGGCGGCAUGACAAGUCUGGUGUGAAAUAUCUCGGCUCAACCGAGAAAACGCACUGGAAACUGUCAAGCUUGAGUAUCAGAGGGGAAGCUAGAAUUCCUGGUGUAGGGGUGAAAUCUGUAGAUAUCAGGAAGAAUACCGGUGGCGAAGGCGAGCUUCUGGCCAGAUACUGACGCUGAGAUGCGAAAGCGUGGGGAGCGAACAGGAUUAGAUACCCUGGUAGUCC
RNAcentral lists this ribosomal RNA (229 nucleotides) under uncultured bacterium. RNAcentral's name for it is "partial 16S ribosomal RNA". It matches the Rfam family "Bacterial small subunit ribosomal RNA", at positions 568 to 796 of the family's 1533-position model. The record is from RNAcentral.